RNAcentral lists this ribosomal RNA (1514 nucleotides) under uncultured delta proteobacterium. RNAcentral's name for it is "bacterial SSU rRNA". It matches the Rfam family "Bacterial small subunit ribosomal RNA". The record is from RNAcentral. Lineage: Bacteria; Deltaproteobacteria.
AGAGUUUGAUCCUGGCUCAGAACGAACGCUGGCGGCGCGCCUAACACAUGCAAGUCGAGCGAGAAAGGUCCUUCGGGGCUGAGUAAAGCGGCGCACGGGUGAGUAACACGUAGGUAACCUACCCUUUGGUCUGGGAUAACCCAGGGAAACCUGGGCUAAUACCGGAUAAGACCACGGAUCUGCGGAUCUGUGAGAAAAGGUGGCCUCUAUUUAUAAGCUAUCUCCAGAGGAUGGGCCUGCGCAGUAUUAGCUUGUUGGUAAGGUAAUGGCUUACCAAGGCUUCGAUGCUUAGCUGGUCUGAGAGGACGAUCAGCCACACUGGCACUGGAACACGGGCCAGACACCUACGGGUGGCAGCAGUGGGGAAUUUUGCGCAAUGGGCGAAAGCCUGACGCAGCGACGCCGCGUGCGGGAGGAAGGCCUUCGGGUCGUAAACCGCUGUCAGAAGGGAUGAAAAACGGAACGGCUAAUAUCCGGUCCGCUUGAUGGUACCUUCAGAGGAAGCACCGGCUAACUCCGUGCCAGCAGCCGCGGUAAUACGGAGGGUGCAAGCGUUGUUCGGAAUCACUGGGCGUAAAGGGUGCGCAGGCGGCCAUGUAAGUCUGAUGUGAAAUCCCGGGGCUCAACCCCGGAACUGCAUUGGAAACUGCAUGGCUCGAGUACGGGAGAGGAAAGCGGAAUUCCUGGUGUAGAGGUGAAAUUCGUAGAUACCAGGAGGAACACCGGUGGCGAAGGGCGGGCUUUCUGGACCGAUACUGACGCUGAGGCACGAAAGCGUGGGGAGCAAACAGGAUUAGAUACCCUGGUAGUCCACGCCCUAAACGAUGACAACUAGAUGUCGCGGGUAUUUACCCCCGCGGUGCCGUCGCUAACGCAUUAAGUUGUCCGCCUGGGGAGUACGGUCGCAAGAUUAAAACUCAAAGGAAUUGACGGGGGGCCCGCACAAGCAGUGGAGCAUGUGGUUUAAUUCGACGCAACGCGAAAAACCUUACCCAGACUUGACAUCCUUGGACAACCCUGGAGACAGGGCUUCCCCUUCGGGGGCCAGGUGACAGGUGCUGCAUGGCUGUCGUCAGCUCGUGUCGUGAGAUGUAGGGUUAAGUCCCACAACGAGCGCAACCCUUGCCGUUAGUUGCUACCAUUCAGUUGAGCACUCUAGCGGGACUGCCGUGGUCAACACGGAGGAAGGUGGGGAUGACGUCAAGUCCUCAUGGCCCUUAUGUCUGGGGCUACACACGUGCUACAAUGGUCGGUACAGAGGGCUGCGAUGCCGCAAGGUGGAGCGAAUCCCAAAAAACCGGCCUCAGUUCGGAUUGGAGUCUGCAACUCGACUCCAUGAAGGUGGAAUUGCUAGUAAUCGUGGAUCAGAAUGCCACGGUGAAUACGUUCCCGGGCCUUGUACACACCGCCCGUCACACCACGAAAGUUGUCUAUACCCGAAGUGGCUGAGCUAACCGCAAGGAGGCAGGUCCCAACGGUAUGGGGGAUGAUUGGGGUGAAGUCGUAACAAGGUA